This 788-nucleotide ribosomal RNA is filed under the name Nostoc sp. 'Peltigera malacea cyanobiont 24'. Its description in RNAcentral is "bacterial SSU rRNA". It matches the Rfam family "Bacterial small subunit ribosomal RNA", at positions 64 to 895 of the family's 1533-position model. Lineage: Bacteria; Bacillati; Cyanobacteriota; Cyanophyceae; Nostocales; Nostocaceae. The record is from RNAcentral.
GAACGAACCCUUCGGGGUUAGUGGCGGACGGGUGAGUAACGCGUGAGAAUCUGGCUUCAGGUCUGGGACAACCACUGGAAACGGUGGCUAAUACCGGAUGUGCCGCAAGGUGAAAGGUUAACUGCCUGAAGAUGAGCUCGCGUCUGAUUAGCUAGUUGGCAGUGUAAGAGACUACCAAGGCGACGAUCAGUAGCUGGUCUGAGAGGACGAUCAGCCACACUGGGACUGAGACACGGCCCAGACUCCUACGGGAGGCAGCAGUGGGGAAUUUUCCGCAAUGGGCGAAAGCCUGACGGAGCAAUACCGCGUGAGGGAGGAAGGCUCUUGGGUCGUAAACCUCUUUUCUCAGGGAAGAACACAAUGACGGUACCUGAGGAAUAAGCAUCGGCUAACUCCGUGCCAGCAGCCGCGGUAAUACGGAGGAUGCAAGCGUUAUCCGGAAUGAUUGGGCGUAAAGCGUCCGCAGGUGGCGAUGUAAGUCUGCUGUUAAAGCGUCUAGCUCAACUAGAUAAAAGCAGUGGAAACUACAUGGCUAGAGUGCGUUCGGGGCAGAGGGAAUUCCUGGUGUAGCGGUGAAAUGCGUAGAGAUCAGGAAGAACACCGGUGGCGAAGGCGCUCUGCUAGGCCGNAACUGACACUGAGGGACGAAAGCUAGGGGAGCGAAUGGGAUUAGAUACCCCAGUAGUCCUAGCCGUAAACGAUGGAUACUAGGCGUGGCUUGUAUCGACCCGAGCCGUGCCGUAGCUAACGCGUUAAGUAUCCCGCCUGGGGAGUACGCCGGCAACGGU